UGGGGAAUUUUGGACAAUGGGCGAAAGCCUGAUCCAGCACUGCCGCGUGUGUGAAGAAGGCCUUCGGGUUGUAAAGCACUUUUGUCCGGAAAGAAAUGGCUCUGGUUAAUACCUGGGGUCGAUGACGGUACCGGAAGAAUAAGGACCGGCUAACUACGUGCCAGCAGCCGCGGUAAUACGUAGGGUCCAAGCGUUAAUCGGAAUUACUGGGCGUAAAGCGUGCGCAGGCGGUUGUGCAAGACCGAUGUGAAAUCCCCGAGCUUAACUUGGGAAUUGCAUUGGUGACUGCACGGCUAGAGUGUGUCAGAGGGGGGUAGAAUUCCACGUGUAGCAGUGAAAUGCGUAGAGAUGUGGAGGAAUACCGAUGGCGAAGGCAGCCCCCUGGGAUAACACUGACGCUCAUGCACGAAAGCGUGGGGAGCAAACAGG
This 429-nucleotide ribosomal RNA is filed under the name Acidobacteriota bacterium. RNAcentral's name for it is "Acidobacteria bacterium partial 16S ribosomal RNA". It matches the Rfam family "Bacterial small subunit ribosomal RNA", at positions 355 to 776 of the family's 1533-position model. The record is from RNAcentral. Lineage: Bacteria; Pseudomonadati; Acidobacteriota.